AGCGACGACAACAGCAGCGGCCGAACAGCCCCAGCGGCGACGCCCCCUUCUCAGUCGUUCCUCUUCAUGGCCGCCUGAAACAGAGAAGGAAUCAGACCCGGAAUGAUGAAGAAGACCCAGAAGCAGAUCUGCAAACAAAAAAACAAAAAUAUAAAAUCGACUGCUUGUGUUCUUUUCUUUGUUUGCAGGUGACGGUGGUUGUCACCACCAGCAGAGAGGGAAAAGGGAAAGGAAGCGGAACCAGAUCUACCCGCUUCCUGUCUUUGUUCGCGGCGGCGCGUGAACCCACGCGCCGCCAGUGACGGUGGCGCGUGGAGAGACGCGCCGGAACUGUUCAUGCGGGUGCAGAAGUCCUUCCCUGCAAUUUCGGGAGUUUUGAGGGACCAUUUUGUAAAUUUUAAAGUUUUAAUGUAAUUUUUGUUUAUUUAUUUUAAAUUUGUAAUAUGUGAAUGUAAAAAAAAAAAAAAGGAAAAGAAAAGAAAAUAAUAAUAAAAAA
This 496-nucleotide long non-coding RNA is filed under the name Populus tremula. Its description in RNAcentral is "long non-coding RNA (PTRE_LNC000226)". The record is from RNAcentral. Lineage: Eukaryota; Viridiplantae; Streptophyta; Magnoliopsida; Malpighiales; Salicaceae.